This 365-nucleotide ribosomal RNA is filed under the name uncultured bacterium. RNAcentral's name for it is "bacterial SSU rRNA". It matches the Rfam family "Bacterial small subunit ribosomal RNA", at positions 32 to 409 of the family's 1533-position model. The record is from RNAcentral.
AAUCAACGCUGGCGGCGUGCCUAACACAAGCAAGUCGAACGAGAAAGUGGAGCAAUCCAUGAGUAAAGUGGCGCACGGGUGAGUAACACGUGACUAACCUACCCUUGAGUGGGGGAUAACCUAGGGAAACCUGGGCUAAUACCGCAUAAUACCUACGGGUCAAAGGAGCAAUUCGCUUUAGGAGGGGGUCGCGGCAGAUUAGUUAGUUGGCGGGGUAAUGGCCCACCAAGACGAUGAUCNGUAUCCGGCCUGAGAGGGCGCACGGACACACUGGAACUGAAACACGGUCCAGACUCCUACGGGAGGCAGCAGUGGGAAUUUUGCGCAAUGGGGAAACCCUGACGCAGCAACGCCGCGUGGAGGAU